This 27-nucleotide non-coding RNA is filed under the name Homo sapiens (human). Lineage: Eukaryota; Metazoa; Chordata; Mammalia; Primates; Hominidae. The record is from RNAcentral.
UUGAUCAUGCAAAUGGAUUUGAAUGUG